This 352-nucleotide ribosomal RNA is filed under the name Rhodobacterales bacterium 32-66-9. RNAcentral's name for it is "partial 16S ribosomal RNA". It matches the Rfam family "Bacterial small subunit ribosomal RNA", at positions 1 to 321 of the family's 1533-position model. The record is from RNAcentral. Lineage: Bacteria; Pseudomonadati; Pseudomonadota; Alphaproteobacteria; Rhodobacterales.
UUCAACUUGAGAGUUUGAUCCUGGCUCAGAACGAACGCUGGCGGCAGGCCUAACACAUGCAAGUCGAGCGCCUCGCAAGAGGAGCGGCGGACGGGUGAGUAACGCGUGGGAACGUACCCUUUGCUACGGAAUAGCCUCGGGAAACUGGGAGUAAUACCGUAUGUGCCCCCCCAAUCAAAUUUCAUUUGAUUGAAUAAUCAGACUUAUCAAAUUCCAGUGGAAUUUGAUGGGGGGGGAAAGAUUUAUCGGCAAGGGAUCGGCCCGCGUUGGAUUAGGUAGUUGGUGGGGUAAUGGCCUACCAAGCCGACGAUCCAUAGCUGGUUUGAGAGGAUGAUCAGCCACACUGGGACUG